This 2667-nucleotide ribosomal RNA is filed under the name Clostridioides difficile. Its description in RNAcentral is "bacterial LSU rRNA". It matches the Rfam family "Bacterial large subunit ribosomal RNA". The record is from RNAcentral. Lineage: Bacteria; Bacillati; Bacillota; Clostridia; Peptostreptococcales; Peptostreptococcaceae.
ACGUGAUAAGCUGCGAUAAGCUUCGGGGAGUUGCACGUAAACUUUGAUCCGAAGAUUUCCGAAUGAGGAAACUCACUUAGAGUAAUGUCUAAGUAUCAUUAAGUGAAUACAUAGCUUAAUGAGGGGAACUCAGGGAACUGAAACAUCUAAGUACCUGAAGGAAGAGAAAGAAAUUCGAUUCCGUAAGUAGCGGCGAGCGAACGCGGAUUAGCCCAAACCAAUAAAGUUUUCUUUAUUGGGGUUGCGGACAUAUCAUAACGAAGAGGUAUCGUAAUUGAAGAGGUUUGGAAAGACCCACCACAGAAGGUAAUAGUCCUGUAUGUUAAACGAGAAGACUUCAGAUAUGAUCCAGAGUACCACGGGACACGUGAAACCCUGUGGGAAGCAGGAGGGACCACCCUCCAAGGCUAAAUACUACCUAGUGACCGAUAGCGUAUAGUACCGUGAGGGAAAGGUGAAAAGAACCCCGGGAGGGGAGUGAAAUAGAACCUGAAACCCUGCACUUACAAGCUGUGGAAGCACAUUUCUUGUGUGACCGCGUACUUUUUGUAGAACGGGCCAACGAGUUACGUUAAGUAGCAAGGUUAAGCACUUAAGGUGCGGAGCCGUAGCGAAAGCGAGUUUUAACUGAGCGUUCAGUUACUUGACGUAGACCCGAAACCGGGCGACCUACCCAUGAGCAGGAUGAAGCGAAAGUAAAAUUUCGUGGAGGUCCGAACCCACGAGCGUUGAAAAGCUCGGGGAUGACUUGUGGGUAGCGGUGAAAUUCCAAUCGAGCCCGGAGAUAGCUGGUUCUCCCCGAAAUAGCUUUAGGGCUAGCCUCAAGGUGAGAGAUACGGAGGUAGAGCACUGAAUGUCCUAGGGGGUAUUGCACCUACCGAAGACUAUCAAACUCCGAAUGCCGUCAUCUUAUACUUGGGAGUCAGACUGUGGGUGAUAAGAUUCAUAGUCGAAAGGGCAACAGCCCAGAUCGUCAGCUAAGGUCCCUAAAUGUAAGUUAAGUGGUAAAGGAUGUGGGAUUGCACAGACAACCAGGAUGUUGGCUUAGAAGCAGCCACUCAUUCAAAGAGUGCGUAAUAGCUCACUGGUCGAGUGAUCCUGCGCCGAAGAUUUCCGGGGCUAAAACUUACUACCGAAGCUACGGCAUCAGUAAUGAUGGGUAGGGGAGCUUCCCAUACGGGUUGAAGCAUGACCGUAAGGACAUGUGGACAGUAUGGGAGUGAGAAUGUUGGCAUGAGUAGCGAGAUGUGGGUGAGAAUCCCACAGGCCGUAAACCCAAGGUUUCCAGGGGAAGGUUCGUCCGCCCUGGGUUAGUCGGGACCUAAGCUGAGGCCGAAAGGCGUAGGUGAUGGACAACAGGUUGAUAUUCCUGUACUACCGAUAACCGUUUGAGAGAAGGGAUGACACAGUAGGAUAAGCUAAGCACACUGUUGGUUAUGUGUGCCCAAGCAUUGAGGCAGUCAAAGCAGGCAAAUCCGCUUUGAUAAUGCUGGGAUGUGAUGGGGAGCGAAAUUUAGUAGCGAAGUAGCUGAUUUCACACUGUCAAGAAAAGUCUCUAUCGAGGUUAAAGGUACCCGUACCGCAAACCGACACAGGUGGGUGAGGAGAGUAUCCUAAGGCCAGCGAGAGAACUGUUGUUAAGGAACUCGGCAAAAUGACCCCGUAACUUAGGGAUAAGGGGUGCCACCAUCCGGUGGCCGCAGAGAAUAGGCCCAAGCGACUGUUUACCAAAAACAUAGGUUUCUGCUAAGUCGCAAGACGAUGUAUAGGAGCUGACGCCUGCCCGGUGCUGGAAGGUUAAGGGGAUCUGUUAGAGCAAUCGAAGCAGUGAACUUAAGCCCCAGUAAACGGCGGCCGUAACUAUAACGGUCCUAAGGUAGCGAAAUUCCUUGUCGGGUAAGUUCCGACCCGCACGAAAGGCGUAACGAUUUGGGCACUGUCUCAACAACAGACUCGGUGAAAUUGUAAUUCCGGUGAAGAUGCCGGAUACCUGCGACAGGACGGAAAGACCCCAUGGAGCUUUACUGUAGCUUGACAUUGGGUCUUGGUACUACAUGUACAGGAUAGGUGGGAGGCUUUGAAACCAGGACGCCAGUUUUGGCGGAGCCAUCCUUGGGAUACCACCCUUGUAGUACUGGGACUCUAACCAUAGGCCAUGAAUCUGGUCUUGGGACACUGUCAGGUGGGCAGUUUGACUGGGGCGGUCGCCUCCCAAAAGGUAACGGAGGCGCUCAAAGGUUCUCUCAGUACGGUCGGAAAUCGUACGUAGAGUGUAAAGGCAAAAGAGAGCUUGAUUGCAAGACAUACAGGUCGAGCAAGGAUGAAAAUCGGACUUAGUGAUCCGGUGGUUCUGCGUGGAAGGGCCAUCGCUCAACGGAUAAAAGCUACCCUGGGGAUAACAGGCUUAUCUCCCCCAAGAGUCCACAUCGACGGGGAGGUUUGGCACCUCGAUGUCGGCUCAUCACAUCCUGGGGCUGUAGUAGGUCCCAAGGGUUGGGCUGUUCGCCCAUUAAAGUGGUACGCGAGCUGGGUUCAGAACGUCGUGAGACAGUUCGGUCCCUAUCCGUCGCAGGCGUAGGAAAUUUGAGAAGACCUGUCCUUAGUACGAGAGGACCGGGAUGGACGUACCUCUGGUGUACCAGUUGUUCUGCCAAGGGCAUGGCUGGG